UCUAAUAUGGCAGAAAUAAAUAGUGCACUGGAUUUAAACCCCAUUUAUAGAGCUAAGCUUUUUUUAGAA
This 69-nucleotide transfer RNA is filed under the name Carrikerella sp. Its description in RNAcentral is "tRNA-Leu". Lineage: Eukaryota; Metazoa; Arthropoda; Insecta; Mantodea; Thespidae. The record is from RNAcentral.